CUUCUGGUGAAGAGUCCCAAACUAGGACGAAACAGCUGUCCAGUAC
Molecule: non-coding RNA, 46 nt
Organism: Trichobilharzia regenti
Lineage: Eukaryota; Metazoa; Platyhelminthes; Trematoda; Strigeidida; Schistosomatidae
Source: Rfam